Molecule: small nuclear RNA, 193 nt
Filed under: Zea mays
Lineage: Eukaryota; Viridiplantae; Streptophyta; Magnoliopsida; Poales; Poaceae
Description: U2 spliceosomal RNA
Rfam family: U2 spliceosomal RNA
About the family: U2 is a small nuclear RNA (snRNA) component of the spliceosome (involved in pre-mRNA splicing).
Source: Rfam by way of RNAcentral
AUACCUUUCUCGGCCUUUUGGCUAAGAUCAAGUGUAGUAUCUGUUCUUAUCAGUUUAAUAUCUGGUACGUGGGCUAUGUGCCCACAAUGAUAUUAAAUUUAUUUUUUAUGGGGAGAAUCUAAUAUGUAGCUUGCUACUAAGAUUCAUGUGUCGCCCUAGCGUUGCACUAUUGCUUGGGCUUGGCUCAACCCUA